GUUUCCGUANGUGAACCUGCGGAAGGAUCAUUG
RNAcentral lists this ribosomal RNA (33 nucleotides) under Hamatocaulis vernicosus. RNAcentral's name for it is "partial 18S ribosomal RNA". The record is from RNAcentral. Lineage: Eukaryota; Viridiplantae; Streptophyta; Bryopsida; Hypnales; Calliergonaceae.